GGGGGGGGGUGUUACCUUCUUGUGUGCAGCGAAACAGGGACGGCGACAAUCUCGGAGACGACUAUUCCACCACCACACUAGAACUUCCGAGAGUUUAGAUGAAUCGAGCAAAAGGAUAAAUCUGAGCUCCACCAAUUCUGCCCUCUUUUAUAUGUAUUUCUUAUAUGUUUCGUUACUAGUAGCUUAAGCUUUACUCUCUGUCUUAGUAAAGAAUUUUUAACUAAAAUCACCCCUCUUCCCAAUUUUUCUCCUCUUUUUUUAUAUACUGAAAACAGUAAAGUAUAUAUAGAAGAGCUUAGGGUUCAUGAUUUUUUUGGGGGAAACCGAUAGAAUUCGGAUAGGAAUGAGACCCACCCCCAAAUUCAAACUUCAAAAUCUUUCACCCUUUAAGGCAAACAUACUUUUCUAAGAUUUUCAACCCCAUUCCAGAAGAGGAAAUGGGGACAGACGCGUGCUUCUGCUUGCUGCCGGGACAGAGACGUAAGGAAGAAAACAAAAAAAAACAGAGUACCGCUUGACUUGCUCGUUGCUUUUCCGUCUAUCACCGUAUCCUCCGUGAAGGCGUUAAAUCGAGCAGGCGUAGUUUUGUACUGCUUGGAUUGUCGUUUGAGUCAUUGUCGUUUCUGCCGUGAAUUCACGCCAUUGAAUCGUGAGCUACUGCCGUUGUUUUAGGAAUUGAUGUUAAUGUUGAGCAUUUGAGUCUCUUUACUGAUGGGAGGAAUUGGGCUGGGUUGGGGGAAUUAAACAUGGGCUGGGAAUUAAGGAAAUUAAGGGUGGGCUUGCUGGGAUUGGAAAAGGAGAGGCUGGGCUGUUGCUGGGAAUUGGAGAAGCCAAAUUGACAUGCUGAAAAUGCCCUUUGGGCUGAAUAAAAUGACAUGUGUUACUGGAAUGUUGGACAUGAAAUUGGAUAUGGCCCAAAAUUGAGUUGGUGAGGAAAUAAAUGGCUAAAAUUGCACAUAAAAGGGUUAGGCAAAUGAAUUA
This 981-nucleotide long non-coding RNA is filed under the name Solanum tuberosum (potato). Its description in RNAcentral is "long non-coding RNA (STUB_LNC005961)". Lineage: Eukaryota; Viridiplantae; Streptophyta; Magnoliopsida; Solanales; Solanaceae. The record is from RNAcentral.